GAUGAACGCUGGCGGCGUGCCUAAUACAUGCAAGUCGAGCGAACGGACGAGAAUCUUGCUUCUCUGAUGUUAGCGGCGGACGGGUGAGUAACACGUGUAUAACCUACCUAUAAGACUGGGAUAACUUCGGGAAACCGGAGCUAAUACCGGAUGAUCUUUUGAACCGCAUGGUUCAAAAGUGAAAGACGGUCUUGCUGUCACUUAUAGAUUGAUCCGCGCUGCAUUAGCUAGUUGGUAAGGUAACGGCUUACCAAGGCAACUAUGCAUAUCCGACCUGAGAGGGUGAUCGGACACACUGGAACUGAGACACGGACCAGACGCCUACGGGAGGGAGCAGUAGGGAAUAUUCCGCAAUGGGCGAAAGCAUGACGGAGCAAAGCCGAGUGAGUGAUGAAGGUCUUCGGAUCGUAAAACUCUGUUAUUAGGGAAGAACAUAUGUGUAAGUAACUGUGCACAUCUUGACGGUAACUAAUCAGAAAGCCACGGCUAACUACGUG
RNAcentral lists this ribosomal RNA (497 nucleotides) under uncultured bacterium. Its description in RNAcentral is "partial 16S ribosomal RNA". It matches the Rfam family "Bacterial small subunit ribosomal RNA", at positions 28 to 507 of the family's 1533-position model. The record is from RNAcentral.